RNAcentral lists this ribosomal RNA (501 nucleotides) under uncultured bacterium. RNAcentral describes it as "partial 16S ribosomal RNA". It matches the Rfam family "Bacterial small subunit ribosomal RNA", at positions 30 to 523 of the family's 1533-position model. The record is from RNAcentral.
AUUGAACGCUGGCGGCAGGCUUAACACAUGCAAGUCGAGCGGGGGAAGGUAGCUUGCCACCGGACCUAGCGGCGGACGGGUGAGUAAUGCUUAGGAAUCUGCCUAUUAGUGGGGGACAACAUCUCGAAAGGGAUGCUAAUACCGCAUACGUCCUACGGGAGAAAGCGGGGGAUCUUCGGACCUUGCGCUAAUAGAUGAGCCUAAGUCGGAUUAGCUAGUUGGUGGGGUAAGGGCCUACCAAGGCGACGAUCUGUAGCGGGUCUGAGAGGAUGAUCCGCCACACUGGGACUGAGACACGGCCCAGACUCCUACGGGAGGCAGCAGUGGGGAAUAUUGGACAAUGGGGGGAACCCUGAUCCAGCCAUGCCGCGUGUGUGAAGAAGGCCUUAUGGUUGUAAAGCACUUUAAGCGAGGAGGAGGCUACUUUAGUUAAUACCUAGAGAUAGUGGACGUUACUCGCAGAAUAAGCACCGGCUAACUCUGUGCCAGCCGCCGCAGUAA